Molecule: ribosomal RNA, 274 nt
Filed under: uncultured bacterium
Lineage: Bacteria
Description: partial 16S ribosomal RNA
Rfam family: Bacterial small subunit ribosomal RNA
Source: RNAcentral
AUACGGAGGGUGCAAGCAUUAAUCGGAAUUAUUGGGCGUAAAGGGCGCGUAGGCGGAUUGGUAAGUCAGAUGUGAAAUUCCGAAGCUCAACUUCGGAGCUGCAUUUGAAACUACCAGUCUAGAGGAUUGACGGAGAAAACGGAAUUCCACGUGUAGCGGUGAAAUGCGUAGAUAUGUGGAAGAACACCUGUGGCGAAAGCGGUUUUCUAGUUUAUUCCUGACGCUAAGGCGCGAGAGCUAGGGGAGCAAACAGGAUUAGAAACCCGUGUAGUCC